AUCCUUUUGUAGUUCAUAAGCGUGAUGAUUGGCUGUUCAUGCUGUUGUGUGAGAUGUGCCUCCCUCAAACUGUGUUAUGACAUCGGCACAUUACCUGGCUGACA
Small nucleolar RNA from Pteropus vampyrus (large flying fox), 104 nucleotides. NCBI's taxonomy places the organism in Eukaryota, Metazoa, Chordata, Mammalia, Chiroptera, Pteropodidae. The record is from Ensembl.